This is a long non-coding RNA of Rattus norvegicus (Norway rat), 17829 nucleotides long. RefSeq lists it as uncharacterized. The record is from RefSeq and is a predicted model, not a curated record. Lineage: Eukaryota; Metazoa; Chordata; Mammalia; Rodentia; Muridae.
GCACGCGGCCCACUGGCGGGUACACCCCGGCCUCAGCUGAACCACCGCCCAGGGUGUCGUACCAAGUGACCCAUCAGGGCGAGCCUCUGAACGGCAGCUUGAUCCCUGGCUGUCGGGAGGAAGAGACCAAGGGCGAAUACGCUAGGCCAGAUUGCUGAGCAGAUAAAUCAGGGUGGUGCUGGGGAGGCUCCCGGGAUCUGUUCCCAGGGCCCGUCGGGUGCUUCCAGGAGCAUCCGCUGUAACCCAAGAGGUGAAUGGGCGAGGGGUCCUGAGAAAACCGUGAGCAAAGGCUCCGGCAGCAAAGUGGUUGGCUUGUUGAGAUCACUGGAACCAGGCGAGUUAGACGUAGGUGUGCUGAGAAAGGUGGAUAGCUUCCCUUCCAGUGCUUAAGUGAAGUUUAAAUAGUUAGGAAAUUAGAUAUAAAGGACACAGGGUUUUGCUUGGGAGUAGUGGCACAUAAAAGAGACCGGCCUAGUUCCAAGACAUACUAAGCUGUAGAAUAGCCCCUAUCUCAGAGUGGGUGUGGAGGAUUGUUCGUGUGUCCCUUAUGAUCCCUGUCUUGGGAGACCAGAAGGAUCAGGUGAUAGUUAAUCCUUGGCUGCGUAGUGAGUUCAAAGCCAACCCAGACCCUGUCUCACAAAAAGAAAAGAAAUUAGAGAUUCGGUUAGCCCUUUUUAUCAGAGAUAAUUGACCAUCCUAAGGAAAAUAUGACCACAGCAGUCCAUUAUCCACUGUAUAUGCAGCAAACCCCUUCAGAGAUGACACAGUCACUUGAAGUCAAGAGCUUGAGACGAGCUUCAAUGUUUUUUAAUACAGAGAUACAUUAAAAUAUAUGCUUUGUGAGACAGCAUCUCUCUAUAGAACCCAGCCUGCCCUAGCACACCUAAUCUCCCUGCCUUAGCUUCCCCAGAGCUUGGAUUAUAGGCUUAGGCUGCUGAGCCCAGCUCUAUUAUAUUUAAAGCAAUACCAUCUGAAUACCAAGAGAAAUCCAGUAUUGCCAAUAGAAAGCAAGAUUUACAGCUGUCACAUGCAGCCAGCGCUGUGGUGUUCAGCGACACCAACCUGUUCUGUCCCCCUUCCUGUUCCUCUUGAUGGGACUCUCGGACUUCCAUCUUUCUCUAAUGUCUGGACGCCCGGUGGGGUGGUGAGCAUAAAUGCAAACAGUUUUCUUUCCCUUAGAAAGUUAACGUAUCUCUCCUGACUUCCAUUAAAGCCAGCCAUAGUGUUUUAUAGCAGUCAAGGGAGUCCAUGAUGUUAAGUCUUUGUAGUAUCUUAAAAGAGAGGUCAGGGAUGAGCUAGUUACAAGAUUUUAGGGAUUUGGUUUAUGGCAGGUCUUUCAUCGAGGGGACUUGACUGGGACAGAGUGGUGUGUAACGGUUUAGGAUGGGAAAGGGGAGAGUUUUGAAAGAAGCCUAGGCGAGUUGAAUGUUGGGUAAACCCAGUAAUCUUACUGAGCUGGUGGCUGCUUACCCUGAUGAGUUUGGUCACUUACGUAUUCUUUCCAAAAAUAGACUUUGAGGAAGUCCCUGCCUGAAAGUGCGAUAAGGUAUUUGCAAAUUCAUCUUCCUGGAUGAGAAUUUCUUGAAGUUAGUCAUGUGUACAAGCCAGGUGUGGUGGUGAGUGCUUGUCAUUGGGGCACUCUGCAGGCUGAGACAGGAGAAUCUUGAGGUGAGGUCAACCCUUGGGGUUCCAAAGCAGGCAGGCAAUCAAGCAAAGAGAUGGUAAUGGGGAGUGGAAAUGACUGCAUUUUAUUAUAUACGUGUGUGAAAUUGUCCAGGAAUUUUUAGGAAGAGAGAGGUCACGUUUGUACGCACAGCCAAAUUGUGUUCUGGGUAAUACAGCCAGGCUUAUUUUAAUCCUAUUGUAUGAGCGUUAACGUGAGUGGAGUCCAGUUCCCGUAAGGUUUGGUUUAUUUUGAAAGGGGUUGUUUUGAAACACAUGUCUGAGCAGCCCCAACUGGCCACAACAAAUUCAUGAUCGUGCUACCUCAGUCUCCCCAAUGCUCCACACCCAGCUUCUCCAAAUAGCUUUGGAAGCCGCAUAUGACAAUCAUUUAAUGAGUAGGCAAAUCAUUUUCGUGAGUCAUGACCAACAAAUUUCAUUAGAAGAACAAGAACAAGAUGAAUAAGGGGACAUCCCCUAUAAACAAGAAGGGUAACAAGGAAGCCUGCAGCUUUGGGCUACAUUACAGCAAAUCAAAAUGCCACCAGAAAGAAGCCAUGCCAUUAAUCUUUGUACUACUAAGAAUAAAACCAGGGCUUGGGGACUGGUGAGUGGCUCAGUGGUCAAAGCAGACUCGAUUCCCAGCACCGAAAUCACAGCUCACAGCCAUCUAUAGCUCUACUUCCAAGGGAUCCAACCCUCCUCAGACACAUGGUACUAUACAGGCAUGUGAGACAAAAUAACCAUGUACAUAAAACUUUUAAAAAUCUCACCAGGUGGUAGUGGCAUACACCUUUAUUCCCAGCCCUUUGGAGGCAGACGUAAGCAGAUCUCAAAGUGUUUUUUUUUUUUUUCUAAAGAAUUAUGAGUACACUGUUGCUGUCUUCAGACACACCAGAAGAGGGCAUCAGAUCCCAUUACAGAUGGUUGUGAACCACCAUGUGGUUGAUGAGAAUUGAACUCAGGACCUCUGGAAGAGCAGUCAUUGCUUUUAACCACUGAGCCAUCUCUGCAGCCCAGACCUUUUGAGUUUUAAGUCCAGUCUGGUCACAGAGUAAGUUCUGGACAGCUAGGGCUACAUGAUGAGACCCUACCUCAAAAAGGCAAUAAAUAAAAUCUUAACAAAAUGUCUCAUUGCUUUGUUCUGAUUUCAGGCUGUUAAAAUGAACACAGCAUUGAGAUGUAAGGCAUUGGAUCACGGGAAAUGAAUUUGGUUUUUGUUCAUUAUUGCUAGGAGGGUUUGAAGGCUGUGGUGGAAGUGUGCGGGAGAGGCUAAGCAUGGCUGAAAGGGCGGAAUCUGAGUACUCUGAGGUGUCAUGGGCUACCUGUACAAGUCGAGCUGUGAUGGGACAGUUACAAAGAGCAUGGGACACCAGGGAAAGCAAGAGAGGGUCUUGCCUGGCUCAAGUUGGUUGGCAGGACAAAAGACAUUCUCAAAUGACAGAAUAUAAGAAGGCCUGAGCCUGCAGACAGGCCACAUGGGAAGCUGAAGUACCGGAGGCCUGAGAGAGUUGGCGGCAGAGGCUUUGGUUGCCCUGCCAACAAUUUUAGCCAUUAGUCAUGCUAAUGACAUCAGGCAAGGAAUUUAGGUGACGAAGCUAAUUGUGGAUGGUGGCAAUGAUGACGACAAUGUUGUGUGAUGAAGGCCAUAGAACCCAAGGCUUCGGAACGCUUAGCAGGCCCUCUGCUGCUGGGCUCCCAAUUGCCCCAGCCCACACCUAGCUCUUUGAACUGAAAGGGCUGACGUCAAUAGCAUUAAUGGGAAGGCAGAUUGAUAAGCAGAAGACAGAAGACCCUGAAAGGGCAGGAGAAUCUAUUGUUUCUGCUCAACUUUCCUCAUUCUGCUAAACAACAGAUGCUCAGAAAAGCCACACACCUGAGGUAAUGCUCUGCCUUGUGACUUUCCUGGUCAUUCCUGUUUUGAAGUCAGGUGAGACAAAGGAGUAUGGGGUGAGCAGAGGAGACAGAGGCCAUAUGUCCACUGUCUCACCACUCCAUUAGAACAUUCUCCAUGCCCACAGCACAGGUUGCUGAUGGAGCUGCAGGCAUCCCAGCAACAGCUGAUAAGUCCUAGGGAGUGAGCGAUCAGCCCCUGAAUGAGGAGGGAGCUUGCACCUCCCAGAGGCCAUGCUUUCCAGUAAAACUGAGACUGAAGUGUGCUGUCACAGCCACUCUUGCUUUGUUUCCGGUGUUAGCCAAGAACCUGUCCUGAUUACACCUUUAACCAGUCCCUUGUUUAGCUCCGGAGACUCUUGGUAGAGUGUGUAUCAAGAGGCAAGACAAUAAGGGGUGAGGAGGUUUUGUGCACCUUAUCUGCUACCCUGAUCAAAACAAAAUGUAAAAAUGUUUGAACUGAGACAGAAACUGUCAUGCUGGCAAGCACACAGAGAGGGUAAAUGCUUGGGUUUGCACGCAGAGUUAACUCUCCUACAGCAUAAAAAUAAAACUUUCUCUAGAAUCACAUUAAUAAAUUGAAAAGGAAAGAGGUGUUUUGUUUUAUUUUUAGGAAAGAGGUUUUUAAUACCAUAGCUUUUUUAAAAUUGCAAACACUGACCUCCAUAGCCAAGCUUAGCUUUUCUUUGUUAUGCCAUUUGAACAAAGGGCUUCAGAAAUUGACCAGCAUUGCUAGCAAACCAUCCCCCACCUUCAGCCUGGCAUCUCCCCAGCCCCAGAAGAAGGGGGGUCAAAGAAAGACGCCCCACCCUGCGGGCACUCCCUCACUUCCUGAGCAAGCCAGAACAGACUAGCUGUGCUCUGCACUGAGGAUCGGAGGCUGCCUCCCAGCCAGCUGCCCCACUUGAGGCACACUUCCUGUAGUAAACACUAGAUGGGCUUCAUUAUUCUGGGGUUAGGUGAGGAGGAGGAACCCAGCUGAGUAUUUAUAACAUGGUGUCUGAGGGAGACAGAUUAGACAUUACCUCCUAGAAGUCCUCUCAGUCACAGUAAAGACUGUCUUCCAAGCUCAGGAAAGCCAGCACUCUCUAGUAGGGUGUUAAGACUGGGGGAAAUACAAGUUAUAAGACUUGCCUUGAUCACGAUGUCUGUUCACAGCACUAAAAACCUAACUAAGACACCAUCUGAACUGUGGCCUUUUUACUUUAGAGCCCUGGUGAGUCUGCUAGACCCUCUUUUCAGGUUUUGCAGAAGAAUUUAAUGCAUGCUUCUGAAUAAUGCUGCUUUACUCUCUUGAACAAAGUCAUGCUUUCAGCUGUUAUAUUAGUUAGGGUUCUCUAGAGUCACAGAACUUUUCUUUUUCUUUUUUUUUUCUUUUUUUUCGGAGCUGGGGACCGAACCCAGGGCCUUGCGCUUGCUAGGCAAGCGCUCUACCACUGAGCUAAAUCCCCAACCCCAUCACAGAACUUUUAUGGGUAGUCUCUAUAUAGUAAGGGAAUUUAUGACUUACUGUCUAUAGUCCAACUCCCCAACAAUGAUCAGCAGCAGCUGUGAAUGGAAGUCCAAGGAUCUAGUAGUUGCUCAGUCCCACAAGACAAGCAGGCAAGGAAGAGUCUUCUUCCAAUGUCCUAUGUAGGUCUUCAGCAGAAGGUGUGGCCCAGAUUAAAGAUGUAUACCACCAUGCCUGGAUCUGGGACUUGCUUUGUCUCGGAUGACCUUGAACUCAGAGAUCUCCUUGCCUUAAUCUUCUGGGGUUCAUAGCCACUAUGUCUCAAGAUCUGGAUCGUAGGUGAGCCUUCCAAUUCUGGAUUGUAGUUCAUUCCAAAUAUAAUCAAAUUGACAACCAGGAAUAGCCAUUACAGCUGUGUACUCUCCUUCUUAGAAUGGAGGCUGUUGUAUUUAGCAAACAAUGUUAACUCAAGCUCUCUUCUUGGAACAAAGCAUGGCUUCCAGCUCACCUUGAGCACAGUUCACACUAACAGCCUCAAAGAAAGAUUGAGUCUAUUUGCCGUCCUCCAGUCAUCCACUUGUCCAGCUCUGUGCAGUUUCACUUUUCUUCAGCUUCGAUACAUGGGCUAGGAGUUCAUUGCCUUGCCCCGUGACUCUGCUACGCAAGAUCAUCCGUUGUCUGAGAGUCUCACACCCUGUAAUUCAGGAGAGCUCUACUCUGAAAGCCCCAGGAGCUGCCAGUGUCCAUCUCGUGUCCUGAUACCACCAGCAUCGUUCACCAAACUUGUGGAUUGGCCCCACUGCUGCCACUGAUUGCCUUUAGGCAAGUGGUCUCAUCAUGUCUUAGGACAGCUCUCUCUUACAGAGCCAUUCUGAGGUUUUCAUCAGCUACUGUGUGGAAAGUACCUGAAGCAUAGAAGAGAAGCAUCUGGGGUGUUCAAGUCCCAGCCAGGAACCUAUUCUUCCCACCAUGGCUUCGGGAAGUUGGCCAGGUCUCCCUUCACUCCCUGUAGUCAUUCAACAGUUACUCUUUCUUUAAGUACCUACUUUAUCUAAGGUAGAAUAUUUUCCCAGAGCCAGGAUCCAUAUCUGUAACAUACAACACAAGCAGCCUGAGUUCGAUGCCCAGCCAUGGGAGAGGGCGGAUGAUAAAACAACUUCUCCACACUUUCUGGGUUAACUUAGUUGGGAAGUCGUUUCCAGCGUUUAAUGUAUCGAUUGAUUUUUAAAGUGUGUUGUGUAUUGUUUUGCACUUAAUUACUUCUCAAAGACAAGAUGAAAUAGUGCGGCCUGACACAUACAUGCCCAAGCUUGUUGCUCAGGGACAAAGGGCCAAACAGUCUACCUGCACCUCUCCCUGGAAGGAAGGUGUGUUUCUGCUCCCUGGGAAGCAGCUCUGCCUUUUGCUCUCAGCCAGGAGAGGGAGAAGGAAGGUCACAAAGAAUGGAAGAAAAGCACUGGGGCGACGCCAGGGUGACUGGCACUCUCCUUCCCAGCAUGCAGCACCACUGUGUUCAUUUUUCCAAAGGCAGCUUUUCAUGCUCUGUAGUUUAGCCCAAGGUCCAUUUGAGCAAAGAGAAAUCUGUUCUACGUUUAGAAGCCUUUGUUGAAGGGUUACGGAUACGACUUCGGAAGCAAAGACAGAAGGCUAAAUAUUCUUGGGGGAGGGGGGCAGGAAACAUUUGCAAAAUGACUUAGCUGGACAAGAAGGCAGGAAAGAAUGACAAGGAAGAAAAUGGCUCCUUCCUGCCUCCCUCGGUGACUCAGUCCCAGGCCUGGUACAGGGACGCUGAGGAAUCAUCUUCCAUGAUAGUCAAAGAAGUUUAGGAACAAAGGGAAGGAGGUGGAAACUAAAUUUUUUUUUUCCAGCAGAGAGAGGUGGUGGUGGGUUUUCAGUUUUUUGGUUUUCAAUUUUUGAGACAGCAUCUCACUAUAUGGUCUAGAUAAAUCUCAAACUUUCAGAUCCUCCUGCUUCACCUCCCCUGUGCUGGGAUGACAUGUGCACUAGCCCCCACCCUCCUUCCUUUUGAAACAGGUUCUCUAAUAAGUUGCCCAGGCUGGCCUUGAACUCUCUAUAGCGGGGUCAGGCCUUCCUUCUUCAGUAAUUGAGAUGACAGGCCUGCGUCCCUAGGCCCAAUGGAAUCGAUGUUUGUGGUGCUGGGGAUGAGCCCAGACCUCACUCAUGGUUGUCAAGUGCUUUUUUCCCACUGAGCUCUGCUUCUACCCAUGAACAGUUAACACUGUGUAGAAACUCAAAAGACUGAUGUGCUCAGUGAGGCACAACUGAAGGCCCAUCUAGCUGUAGUGACAUCAGUGUCCCACUCUUGCCCCACCGUUCUUUGCUUUUAAAUACAUAUAUGAGUGUUUUGCCUUGUAUAGCUGUGCCCUGUGCACGCACAGUGCUUAGAAGAGGGCGUUGAAUGACUGGAGAGGAGGGAGAAAUGAAGGUUUGAGAAAAUGCCUCAAUAGGAGUUGCUGUAGGCAGGCCUGUAGGACAUUUUCCUAAUUCGUGAUUGAACUGGGCCCAUGGUGGGUGGUGCCAUCUCUGGGCAGGUGGUCCUGGGUUCUAUAAGAAAGCAGGCUGAGCAAGUCACGGGAGCAAGCCAGUAAGCAGUGUUCCUCCAUGGCCUCGCUUCAGUUCCCGCCCAGAUCUGUCCAUGCUUGAGCUCCAGUCCUGAGUUCCUUUGAUGAUGAACAGUGAUGCAGAAGCACAAACCAAAUGACCCUCCCUCCCCAAUAAACCUGGGCCACAGUGUUUCAUCAGAGCAAUAGAAACCCUAAGAAUUGGCCCCAAGUCCUCUGAAUAAGCAGCCAGUGCUCUUCACCCAGACAUCCCUCCAGCCCAUUGCCCCAUUCUUAUGACUCCCACAUUUUAUUGCCUCAGGAAAGAUAAAGCUCGACUGGCUGCUUUCAGCCUUGUCUCCCACUGGAGACUCCUAGAGAGCCAGGAUUGCAAACCAAAUGGAUUUUCAUCAUCUCAGCACCAGCAGUGGGUGGCUCUUUCCUAUGCUUCUUCAAUCAUCCAGUAUUCUUUUUGAAAAAGCCUUUUUAAAAUGUAUUUAGGACUUACGGAGAAGUUGUAUACUUAGGCUGGGGGUGUGGCUUCCUAGUAGAGUAUUUGCCUAGCAUCCAAGAAGCCCCAGGUUCAAAUGAUGCUACUGUAAAAGGGGCAGGGAGCCUGGAGAGAUGGCUCAGCCAGUAAGAGGACUCGCUCCUUCUGCACAGGACCAGGCUUUGGCUCACCCACGUGGUAGCUCACGGCAAUCCAUAAUGACAGUUCCAGGGCAUCUGACACCCUCUUUUGACAUUGCCUGUACCAGACAUGCACAGAGUACACACACACACAUGCAGAAAGAAAAAAAAAACUCGUGCACAUAAAUAUAAAAAGAAAUGAGGAAAAACUGACCACAUAGCAUAAUGGUUUCCCCCCUAUGGGUUUUACUUAAGUGCUCCACGGUUUUGCUACCAGUCAAACGUCAGUUUUCACCUGAACAAUUAAAGAAUAAGUUGCUGGCCUGACCCCUGUGGUGAGUAUUCAGACCACUGGCUAACUCUUCCUUUGAGCCAUCAGGACUGUGGUUGUAUAUGGCUGUCACAACCAUUUCUUUUAGCAUUUGUCUUAUCUACAGACAGCAACCUUGCCUCUGCAGAGACACACACCUUUCCUCAGUGGCCCAAACCUAUUGACAAGUUACAGCAAAAAUAGAGCCAGGAACGUCUGCCCUGCACAGGAUGGUGGUAUGGGCUGUUCUGUUUAAGGCCUCCCUGGUGGGGUUAGCUCAGGCCAUCCGCCUGCCCUCAUUUCAACCCCUCCUGCUCAAUCCUGUUUCCUUCCCCUCCCUCCGGUCCACAGAUGUUGAUUCCAACGCUCUCUCUCUAAUAAAAUAUCCUGAGCACUGAAAUCUGUCUCAGUCUGCUUCCUGAAAAAUCCAAACUCAUGCAGUUGGAGCCUGGGGAAAUCUGACAAGUGAGAGACCAGACUGGGUUUGAAGCUGGCCCAUUCACUGGCAAGACCACAGGUGUCAAUUUCAAAGGCACUCCCUAAUAAACAUCCUGGAUGCUAAACUCUGACUCAGAGGCUCCUUCCUGUGGAGUCAAAGCUCUGAAGACGCCCUGUUGCCCCUGUAAUGUGUUUUUCUUACUAUGAGAACGCUCACAGCAUUCCAGAAAAACCAUCUAAACUGGGAAUUUAACACAUUUGCAGCUGAUCUCCAGACUCCAUUGAAGCCGUCGAAGGUCUUAAUAGGAGAGGCCCUAUUUGGAGGUGUUGCCUUGUUGGAGUUGGUGUGUCACUGUGGGCGUGGGCCUAAGCCCCUCACCCUAGCUGCCUGCCAGUCAGUCUUUUGCCAGCAGCCUUCAGGUGAAGAUGUGGAACUCUCAGCUCCUGCACCAUGUCUGCCUGGAUGCUGCCAUGCUCCCGCCUUGAUGAUAAUGGACUGAACCUCUGAACCUGUAAGCCAGCCCCAAUUAAAUGUUGUCCUUUAUAAGACUUGCCUUGGUCAUGAUGUCUGUUCACAGCAGUCAAACCCUCACUAAGACAGGGGGCUUUGUGUGUGUGUGCAUGUGUGUGUGUGUGUGUGUGUGUGUGUGUGUGUGUGUGCACACGCGUGCGUGCAGGCCUAUAGGUAACUUUUGGUAUUGUCUUAUUCUGAGCCACGGUCUCUCAUUGUUCUGGAACCCUCUAAGUGGGGAAGACUGACUGGAGAGCCUCAGGAUCUCCACCUCCCCAGCUCUGAGAUUACAAGUGGACACCACCAUGCCUGACUUUUCCACAUGGGACCUGGGGAUCUAAUUCAUAUCCUCAUGCUUGCAAGGCAAGCACUUUGCUGACCAGGCUGGCCUCCUAGUCCCAGUGAUAUCUUUAUAGUGAAAAGAUCCUUCCUGAACCAUAUCAACGUUUACAUGGCACAACUCUCCAGUUGGGUCUUGUUUUCUGGGUCUUUUUUUUCUAUCAGUUUUAUGAGAAUUAACAUGUACAUGUAUGUGUACAUGUAGUACAUGAGGACAACUUUGUGAAGUUAUGGAAUUGGUUUUCUCCUUCCACCUCUGUAUGGGCUCUGGGGAUUGCAUCCUGAGUAACACUAUAUACUGAGCCAUCUCACCAGCCCCUCCAGUCUUUUUCAACAUUGAAUCUUUUUGUUUUUAAUUUAUUUUAUUUAUGUGAAUGCACUGUAGCUGUCUUCAGAAACAUCAGAAGAGGGCAUCGGAUCCCAUUACAGAUGAUUGUGAGCCACCAUGUGGUUGCUGGGAAUUGAACUCAGGACCUCUGGAAGAGCAGUCAGUGCUCUUAACCUCUGAGACAUCUCUCCAGCCCCCAUUGAAUUAUUUUUUAGUCACCUUUUACUUUACAUACUAUUCACAUGUGCAGUAUAAUAUAACACUCACAUACAAAGCACCCCAGGCUGGUCUUAAACUUCUGCCUCUACUUCCCAAGUGCCACAGGUGAGCCCCACCAUGUUUGGCCUUCUUUGGUGUUCAAGACCCAACAGUUUUCAAUAGUCAGUAUAGGCGACUUCUUUCUGUAGGAUUUAUUUUAAUUAGGCUUAUAUUGCAACAUAGAAGCUGUAGAGAUCAGAUCUGUGGUGACAGAUUCCACUGGUUGUUGCACCUGCCACACCUCCUACGUGUUGCACCCCGGGUCUCUUCAGGUGCCAUGCUUUGCAAGCACGGAAUGCCAUCUUCCAGGGUACAGAAACACAAAGAAUCAAAAGCCGGAAUUUUAUCACAAUUAGAAUCAGGUCGUGCACCUUGGGUCAAACUACCAGAGAAGCCACUUCUCAUUGCACCCUAGCAGGUGACACAUGACACUAAUUUGUUCCAUCACCAAUGUGGGUAACUGUGGUCACUUGAUUAGCUGUUGAAUCCCACUGUGAAAUGAUUUUUCCCCCUUUGUAAUUAAGCAUUUGUGGGAACAUUAAAGCUAUGUGAAUAUCCUAGGCUCCAUCAGACUUCAGUGUACUUAUCCACUCCUUCACGUCUGCGUUGGUUGAAGGACUCCUAUUUCAGUAGGGUUAUAAUUCAUCACUCCAUCAUUGUUUAUUUGGCUGUUUAUUUAUUUGGUUAUGGGACCAGGUGGAGCAGACCUGGAGCAAGAGUAGGGCCAAGGAGUGCCCCAAACCCUGGAGAUCUCAUCCUGAGGUCAGCAGGAAUAGGAUGGACAGCCCCCUGCCCCAGGCUUGCACGUCCUGGUGAAUGUAGUCCUGUGUCCCCCACCCUUGCUUCUCUACAGGAGGUUAGGUAGCCAAUAGGCAGGUUAAACUCCCUUUCCUUGUAUAAGAUCAUGUCCAGCAGCACCUGGAAUCCCUCCUCAUGUAAAUGAAGCAUCCCCAGCAUCCUGGUCCCCUACAGUCAUGAUGUACACUCACCCUCAACCCUCUACUCACCCACCAAACGGUUAAUAGCCUUUUCCCACCCAAUAAGUGGAACCAGUUCUUCGAAUCUGUGUGUGUGUGUGUGUGUGUGUGUGUGUGUGUCUGUGUGUCUGUGUGUCUGUGUGUUUACCCACAUACUCACCCACCGACCGAGAUCCUGUUGGCACCCACCCUGGCCACCUAAUCUUCUCUCCCUCUAGCCCAGCCCAGUGCAAAAUGAGCCUGGCUAUCCCAAUUGGGAGAGUUGGACACAGGCUAGUGUUUGGUUUUGUUUUACCUUGUUUGUCAAGACAGAGUCUUUCUGUGUAGCCCCAGCUGUUCUGGAAUUGACUCUGUAGACCAGGCUGGCCUUUAAUUCACAGAGAUCCACCUGCCUCUGCCUCCUGAGUGUUGGGAUGGGAUUAAAGGUGUGUGCCAGCCACCGUGCCUGACUUCACUGUCUUAACUUUCCAGUUUCCUCUUCUGGCCAGCCGUAGCUCCUGCAUGUUGGCCUCCUUAUCCUUUUUCUUGUUUUUGUUUUUUCUUUUCUUUUUUUCGGAGCUGAGGACCGAACCCAGGGCCUUCCUCCUUAUCCUUUUAACGGAUCUUCUUCAUUUCUUUUACACUUUCUUGCUCACUGUGCAAGACACCCCAAGCUUACCUGGUAUCUUCCAGGCCGCAGCCCUUCAAUCAGCCAUUUUCUAAGGAGUAUUCGCUUAGAAGUCACGAUCUAGGCCUUAAAUGUGUUACUUGCUCUUCUGUUCUUUGGGCCCAUUAACACAUCUAGCUAGGGAACAUGGGAAGUACAUGUGCGUACUUAUAAAAAAUAAUGUACCCAUUUAGAACUAUUUUCCAGACUCAUCUGGGUAAAUCCAAAAUGAUAUCCCUCUUACCUCCAAUUCUAGUCCACUUCAGUCCUCUCAUUUCCUGUGCGUGUAGUGACUAUCUCUAACUGGUUAGAAAGCUUGGGUCCCCAUGACUUAUCUAAUCAUUUAUUCCCUGUGUCAACAACCUUCCCUGACACCCUGUGAAAUAUAGACGUGGCCAUUCCAGAGAGAUCCACAAGCCUCUGCAAUUUCCUGAGUAACAUGGCUGCUGGAAGAAUCUUUUGUUCUUAAUAUGUGGUCAUUGACCCUGGUUCCUGACUCAGAGGUCUUUAGACCUGUGUAAUUUCCUGAGUUACUUGCACAUCUAACCCAGGGCCCCGAAAUCCUUGGAAUUUCCCUAAGAUAGGCGCUGUUAUAAAGAGGCAACUCUUUGACGUGUUCCUGGAAAGCCUCAAGAUGGAGCUGGUUGCCAAGGGAACUAGCCACGUGAUCAGAUGGGGCAAGAGCCGCUGAAGGUGGAUCUGGUCAUGAAUGGCCGGCACUGUAAGCAAUACUGUUUCCUAAUGAAGCCUCUAUAAAACUUCCAAGGUUGAGGUCCAAAGAGCUUCCGAGCAGGUAGCCGACCGAGGUGGUGGAGACUCGGAGAGCAUUGGACCUCUGCAGCCUUCCUCCCAUCUCCCGUCUAACCGUCAACCGCACCCCUUGUAUUAGACUCUUUCAUAUAUGGCUGAUUAUCAGUAAAGUGUUUCCCUGAGCAUGUGAGCUGCCCGGGCCAACUAGGCAAACCUAAGGAAGGUCUGUGGAAACUCAGACCUCGGGCUUGAGUCUGAAGCAUCCCUUCGCACAGCUUGAGAAGUGGGGCAGUGUUAUGCUACUGCACCUACAAUCCGGGUUCCGUCUCUUCUGGGCAGAUAGUGUCAGAAUUGAGUUGUAGGGCUCCCAGUCUGAGUCCACUGAUGAGCCUGGUGUCAGAAGUGUUGAAUGUGUGGCUGAGAGUCGGAAAGACACAGUUUUUCCUCCUGUGUCUUGCACUGUUGUGUAACGUGUCUGUCCGUUGUGUGCCUCCCCGGGCCCCAUCCGGUCAGUGUGAUCUUCUUUCUCGCCGCACUGCAGGAGAUAUGACAGAUGUGUCAAUCUGGCUUAGACCAGUGCCCUUGGUCUCCUCAGGCGACUUGACCAAAGCACAGUGCAGGCUUUCUCUCUUCUUUCCCUACCCCUUGCCCCUUGUGUUUACUUCUCUUAACUUCCAAAGCCUGACACCAGGGUGCCUCUCUAAAGGGACUUCAUUCUCCUGUCUCAGACUACUCCACAGGUGUCCUUUUCUUGGGACAAUGCUCUCUCCACCCCAGUAAAGCCCCUUUAUGUGCAGAAUCCUUCUUAUCCCUCUUGGCCUUCACCUCCUGUUCCAGACCAAUUUCCCACCCAAACCCGAGACCACCGUAGCUCAGAAACCUCCACCUCCUUCAGCUCCAGCCUCCGUUUGCUUUCUAUGGCUAUCACAAAAGAACCGAGGUUGGACACUUUAAAGAAACAGGUAUUUAAAUUAAUUCACAGUUCUGGAGACCGACACUCUAAGAUCAGAUGGUUUCUGGUAAGGAACUUCUUGGCUACCUCACACCAAGCCAGAUGGCAUCUUGGCAGGGGGGAGAGAGAGAGAGAGAGAGAGAGAGAGAGAGAGAGAGAGAGAGAGAGAGAGCGCUACCUUUUUAGAACAGCAGCACAUUCUCCUGAAAACAAACAAACGCCCUAAUUCCUUCCACCAGCAACACCUCUGAUGAUUUAACAAGUGCCCUGAACUCUAGCCCUUAAGGGUUCCACACUUUCCAACAUCUCAUGGAGCACAGAGCUUCCAACAAGGGAAGACACACCCAAACCACAACAGCCCUGCACAUGGGUUGGUUUGGGAGGAGAGGAAGGGAAGAGGUGACACACAGUUAAUCACUUUUCAAGGUUUCUUUUAUUAUUAUUAUUUUGAGACAAAGUCUCAUGUAGUCCAGGUUGGCCUUCAACUGUCUACAUGGCUGAAAACUGACAGCAGACUUCUGAUCUUCUUGUCUUUACUUCUUGACCACUGGCAUUGCAAGUGUACACCAUGCCUGGCUCAUGCAGUGCUGGGAUCAAACCCAGGGCCUCCUGCAUACCAGGCACUCAAUCUAUCAACUGAGCCACAUCCCCAUUCCUUUCCUUCACUUGCAACAAACAACUCUCCUGAGAUUCAGCUCCAUGGGGCGUUUGCCCAUAUCUGUUUGUUAUCACCUCAGCUACAUUUACAUUGGCCAGGGAGCCGAAGCUGCCUGCCCAACUCGUUCUUUUAGCUUUUGUCUUUGUUCUUUUGAGACAGGGACUUGCUAUGUAGCCCAGGCUAGCCUCCAACGCAUACUGUUGCUCCUCACAGUUUCCCAAGGGUCAAUUACAAUCACGGCCACCGCAUCACUUCCGGCUCUUUGUGGUGCCACCCCCUCUUUUCCAGCCGAACCUCCACGGCUCAUGCAGGGCAGGGGCUAACCGUGGAUCCCCAAAGUCUCCCUCUCACCAUUUCUGUCAGCAAGUGCUUCAGGAUAGCAGAUAGGGCGUGCUAUUUUGGGAAAGGGCAGCUGCUUUAAACGCUCUGAUCCCCACCCCCAUUUUGCUCUCCCGUUCCCUGCUAGACUGUUUGCUGAUCUUUCCAGAUUAUAUUUGUGUGCGUGUGUGUUCUGGGGGACCAAACUCAGGCCCCUGUGUUCCUGUAGCACUUACUGAGCCCUCCCCCUGGAAUUCCAACUGCCUCUAAAUGUCUUAGAUUUUAGAAUUAUAUGUAUUUCCGUGUGUGUGUACCAUAUAGUAGGUGUGGAGGGUGGAGGUCAGAGGAAACUUUCAGGAGUUUUCUUCUUUUACCUUUUGGGUCUGAAGAUCAGAACCAGUCAGGUUGGCAGCUCAUUUACCUCCCGAGCCACCUCUGCCCAUGCAUUUAGUCCAGAUCCUCCUCCCCGCCCCCAACAAGGGAAGAUAGUUCAAAUGUCCUAAAGCUACACAAGCCCAGGGUCACUUUUCCUGGUGCACAUCCCAAGCUGUCUGUACCUUACUUGUUCAAAUUCUUCUCUCAGGCUGGUCUUCCCAUUGGAUCCCCAAAGAUCACAGCCCUGGCAUCCUUAAAGGCAACCCACACGGCACCCAAGCUUUGCCAUUCUUCCAGCUCUGAUCGCUGGCAUCUGUGUCAUAUGUCUUUUUCUGUCUUAUAUUCUAAUUACCACCAUUGUGCUUUGAAUAGGAAUGGCCCCAUGAGACUCCUGCGUUUGAAUGCUUGGUCCGAAGGGAGUGGUUUACAAUUUACAGGUUUAGUCCAUUAACAUCGUGGCGGGAAGGAUGGUGAGAAACAGGAAGACAUGGUGCUGGAGAGAUAGCUGAGAGUUCUAUAUCUGUAUCCACAGGCGACAGGAAGAGAGUGUCUCACCAGGCAUGGCUUUAAUACCUCAUCACCUCCACAGUGACAUGCUUCCUCCAAUAAGACCACACCUACCUUCACAAGGCCACACCUCCUGACAGUGCCACGCCCUACGAGGCAAGCAUUCAAACACACGAGUCUAUGGGGGCCAUACCUAUUCAAAGCACUACAAAUCGAAACAUCAAAAAAGUUUAUAUAGUUUUCUUUCUCCGAGACAAGGUCUCACUUCCAGGCUAUCCUGGAACUAUGUAGAUCAGGCUGGCCUCGAACUCAUAGAGAUAGGUUUGCCUCUGCCUCCUUAGUGCUGGGAUUAAAGGCAUAUCCCAACAUACUUGGUCAAGUCUGCACAUGUCUUACUGGCCCCCUUUUUGUAGCCAACAUAAGACCUCAGUUUUCUACUUUAGGGAACAUAAAGAUACAUAUUUUCCUCAUCUGAAGGGCAAGAAAGUUAAAGUGUUUGCCGUCCUCUCCCAGGAUGUAGUGCGCUGUGUUAGUAUCCCACGAGCUAAAACCCGUCCACGCUGCAAAUCCAGGCUUGCCCGUGUCAGUCCACAUUUUUAUCUUGCCCAAUAAUGCUCCAUCCUAGCCUCUUAAAGUUAUGAAAUAUCGACAUAUUUUCAUUUCCCACAGAAUAUAUUACCCGUUACUUUCCUAUUGCGUAAAAUCCUAUUUUCAUCUGCAGAGACAUGGCCCCAAUUCCUCACUCCUGGUAGGAAUUACAUAAGGACAGCAGGAGAGCAGCUGCUUCCUUUGUGCCCGGUCUUAGCCUGGAAUCUCAUAAUCUGUUCCAAAGCUGGGCAUUAAGGAAAACCUGGCGAGGCUGCUCUCUCUCUCUCUCUCUCUCUCUCUCACACACACACACACACACACACACACAACCAUUUAGAGCAAGAGGACUCAAUCGGUUAUAAACAACAGUGGUUGUUACCUAACGGUAUCUUCUAAUGCUCGAACCCUCCUUGCCACCCUUGGGGUCAUGGGGUACCAUGGAUCUGUAAGAGUGAGACUUCGCCAAGUUUGACUUUGACCCUGUCACAUCUCUCAGUGCCGUCUGCUACUGAUCCUGUUGUGUUCCGCAGCCGAGAAUAUAGUCUUCUGGUAUUUUCCUCACGCUCAACCACACUGCUUUAAAUGUCUGUUUGUCCCUACUGACCUAGUCGUGAAGUUAUUAGAAUCAGCUGUUUUAGGAAUUUUAAUCUUUGCAUAGAAGAGAAAGAGGGGGCUGGAGAGAAGGCCAAGACUUUCCCUGCGGUUCAGAGGAAGGCUUCAUGCCAAGGUCCUUACCCUCGUGAUCUGUGAGUGUGACCUACAUAGUGAGAAAACCACUGCAUAUGUAGUAAAGUCAAGAGUUUUGAGGUGGGCCAUGGAUACAGUGGCAUAUACCCUUAGGGGACAGAGGCAGAGGGAGGGUUGACACACUGAAGAGGCAAAGGCAAUGUGGCAGCAGAUGGAGAAACCAGGGAGUGCUGACCUUAUCAGGAGCCCAGCACAACAAAGGACCAGGCUCUCCUGAGCUCUGCUGAAAGGAAGGCAGCUCUGCUGAAGCCCUUUCCCACCAGGGAGACGAGCUUCCAGCCUACACACGGCGAGUGGUCACAUUUCUGCUGAAUUCAGCCACCAAGCUGCGGUCAGCCACAAGCAAAUAAAACAGCAGCUUAUCCCUGAAAUGUUUCUAUCUUCGCUGCUUUCCUUUUUGAGCCUAUAUAUUUUUAAAACCCCAUUUAUCCUUUGCAAUGUGUUUUCUCUAAGAAAAUAACUUUUUCAUCUUCUUUUCAAUUUCCUUAGAUGCUGGUUUUUGAACUAAUUUAACAAACUUUUAGGACUCAUCUAUGAUGGCCCUGGAACGUUUAGCAGACACAAAGCAAAAACAGAGAGCCUCUCCUUAAGUUUUAAUAAUGUUCAUACCCAGUGUAUGGUGAAACACAAAGAUAAGGGCCGAAGUCAGGACUGACUGGGGCAGCGAUGAAGAAGGGAGGAAGGAAAGAAGAAACGUGAGUGGCCUGGGGUUCUGGGGUGGGGCCGGGCCUUGAAUGAACAAGCAGACCUUGCCUGGAGACUCCUGGACAAACAAAGAAGACUUCAGAAUUCAUCAUCUUUCCCGAAACACGCCCCCCUCCCCCAUUUCAGUUCCUUCUGCAUUGUACAAGGGGCCUAGAUCCUUCUUGUCCAGUGUUAUGGAUUCAAGCUAGGGCCUCAUGAAUGCUAGGCCAGUUUUAAACCACUGAGC